CCUACGGGUGGCAGCAGUGAGGAAUAUUGGUCAAUGGACGCAAGUCUGAACCAGCCAAGUCGCGUGCAGGAAGACGGCCCUAUGAGUUGUAAACUGCUUUUGUACGAGAGUAAACGCAGACACGUGUACCUGUUUGUAUGUAUCGUAUGAAUAAGGAUCGGCUAACUCCGUGCCAGCAGCCGCGGUAAUACGGAGGAUUCGAGCGUUAUCCGGAUUUAUUGGGUUUAAAGGGUGCGUAGGCGGUCUGUUAAGUCAGGUGUGAAAGCCCGGGGCUCAACUGUGGAAUUGCAUUUGAUACUGGUAGGCUAGAGAGCAGUUGCGGUAGGCGGAAUGCAUGGUGUAGCGGUGAAAUGCUUAGAGAUCAUGAAGAACACCGAUUGCGAAGGCAGCUUACCAAGCUGCUACUGACGUUGAGGCUCGAAAGCGUGGGGAGCAAACAGGAUUAGAUACCCCGGUAGUC
This 460-nucleotide ribosomal RNA is filed under the name uncultured bacterium. Its description in RNAcentral is "partial 16S ribosomal RNA". It matches the Rfam family "Bacterial small subunit ribosomal RNA", at positions 338 to 795 of the family's 1533-position model. The record is from RNAcentral.